AGACUUACCUGGGAGUAGUGAUAAAAUGAUCAGGAAGAUGGUUUUCCCAGUGAGGUGUAACCACUUUAGUAUAGAUGUGCAAGUUUCCAAGUGUAGAAAAUUCAACUUUCUAGUCCAGUUGUAGGGAAUUGCAUUUGUGCAAGUUUUUU
This 149-nucleotide small nuclear RNA is filed under the name Erinaceus europaeus (western European hedgehog). RNAcentral's name for it is "U1 spliceosomal RNA (ENSEEUG00000022548.1)". The record is from RNAcentral. Lineage: Eukaryota; Metazoa; Chordata; Mammalia; Eulipotyphla; Erinaceidae.